RNAcentral lists this ribosomal RNA (134 nucleotides) under Escherichia coli. RNAcentral's name for it is "partial 16S ribosomal RNA". It matches the Rfam family "Bacterial small subunit ribosomal RNA", at positions 1 to 127 of the family's 1533-position model. RNAcentral also lists the same sequence under 2 other names. Lineage: Bacteria; Pseudomonadati; Pseudomonadota; Gammaproteobacteria; Enterobacterales; Enterobacteriaceae. The record is from RNAcentral.
AAAUUGAAGAGUUUGAUCAUGGCUCAGAUUGAACGCUGGCGGCAGGCCUAACACAUGCAAGUCGAACGGUAACAGGAAGCAGCUUGCUGUUUCGCUGACGAGUGGCGGACGGGUGAGUAAUGUCUGGGAAACUG